RNAcentral lists this ribosomal RNA (245 nucleotides) under Escherichia coli. RNAcentral's name for it is "partial 16S ribosomal RNA". It matches the Rfam family "Bacterial small subunit ribosomal RNA", at positions 108 to 356 of the family's 1533-position model. The record is from RNAcentral. Lineage: Bacteria; Pseudomonadati; Pseudomonadota; Gammaproteobacteria; Enterobacterales; Enterobacteriaceae.
GAGUAAUGUCUGGGAAACUGCCUGAUGGAGGGGGAUAACUACUGGAAACGGUAGCUAAUACCGCAUAACGUCGCAAGACCAAAGAGGGGGACCUUCGGGCCUCUUGCCAUCGGAUGUGCCCAGAUGGGAUUAGCUAGUAGGUGGGGUAACGGCUCACCUAGGCGACGAUCCCUAGCUGGUCUGAGAGGAUGACCAGCCACACUGGAACUGAGACACGGUCCAGACUCCUACGGGAGGCAGCAGUG